UACGUAGGUGGCAAGCGUUAUCCGGAAUUAUUGGGCGUAAAGAGCGCGCAGGUGGUUGAUUAAGUCUGAUGUGAAAGCCCACGGCUUAACCGUGGAGGGUCAUUGGAAACUGGUCGACUUGAGUGCAGAAGAGGGAAGUGGAAUUCCAUGUGUAGCGGUGAAAUGCGUAGAGAUAUGGAGGAACACCAGUGGCGAAGGCGGCUUCCUGGUCUGUAACUGACACUGAGGCGCGAGAGCGUGGGGAGCAAACAGGAUUAGA
RNAcentral lists this ribosomal RNA (259 nucleotides) under uncultured prokaryote. RNAcentral describes it as "partial 16S ribosomal RNA". It matches the Rfam family "Bacterial small subunit ribosomal RNA", at positions 524 to 782 of the family's 1533-position model. The record is from RNAcentral.